Molecule: unclassified non-coding RNA, 166 nt
Filed under: soil metagenome
Description: partial contains 5.8S ribosomal RNA, internal transcribed spacer 2, and large subunit ribosomal RNA
Source: RNAcentral
AACGCACGAGACCUGCGGACCUGCGGAGGGAUCAUUAGUGAACGCCCUCACGGGCUUAUAACUAUUCCAAACCUCUGUGAACCGUGCCCUUCGGGGCUAUUUUACGAACAUGGUGUAAUGAACGUCAUAUAUCAUAACAAAACAAAACUUUCAACAACGGAUCUCU